Molecule: long non-coding RNA, 2910 nt
Filed under: Homo sapiens (human)
Lineage: Eukaryota; Metazoa; Chordata; Mammalia; Primates; Hominidae
Description: HSALNT0312666
Source: RNAcentral
CAGCGGCAGGGUGAAGGGCUCCUCCAGCGCGACCCGAGACGCCGAGGCCGAGGAGGCGCGGAGAGCGAGCGAAGGCUGCUAGCAAGUUGUCAUCUCUCAAUAGUUUUCUGGAAAGUGGGGCCAAAAGAGCUGUUUGGAUAAGCUCUUUGCCGAAGAAUAACGUGAGAAGGAAUUAUGUCUCUGAAUACUUUCUUACCCCAUCAAAUAUGAGCAGAACAUUCCAGAGAAGAUAUCAAGGAAUUAUUUCAGGAGGUAGCAAAGCCUGGCAAGGUGAAGAAAAUGUGACUGAAGAGAUUGAAUUAAUGUGCUGACAUUCACACCCUUUAACCUUAGAGAUGUUAUUGGUUCCUAAGCUUCAGUUUCUUUAUGUGUGCAAGGAAAUAAUAAUAUCUACCUCAGACACGUUUCAUUCUCAAACAAAGCUCUCUAGUAGAGAAAAGGAAAACUAGUUUCUUUGUUCAAGGCAUCAACCACUUGUCAAGCCAUCUCUAGAUGUCCUAUAGGAUGGGCCCAGGGGAGCUAUGUGCUGCCCACAGAGUAGUUAUAUCUGUUUUAAUGAACUAUGUCUAAUAAAUGAACUCAACUAUCCAAAAUUUCAGAACAUAAUGGGUUUUUAGAUAUAUGUUCUCUUCUUCUCGUUUCCUAUAAUUAUUCCAGAAUUUUCUUGGUAACUAGCUAAGUGACCAGAUGAUGUCAUCUACCUCAUAGCAGUAAAUCAACAGAGAAAUAUGUGAGGAUUUUAAUGACAGUUUUUAAAAAGGGUACAAAGUGAGAAUUUCAUUAGCCUUCGCUAAAGGUGAUAGAAGCCAAUUUUACUAGAUUAAAACAUUUUUAAAUUUCUCUCAAGCUAACUGUAUUAGUCUGUUUUCACACUGCUGAUAAAUAUGUACCCGAGACUGUGUAAUUUACAAAAGAAAGAGGUUUAAUUGGACUCACAGUUCCACAUGGCUGGGGAGGCCUCACAAUCAUGGCAGAAGCAAGGAGGAGCAAGGCAAGUCUUACAUGGAUGCCAGCAGGCAAAGAGAGAGCUUUUGCAGGGAGUCCUCCAUUUUUUAGAACCAUCAGAUCUCGUUAGACUGAUUGAUUAUCAUGAGAACAGCACUGAAAAGACCUGCCCCCAUGAUUCAGUUACCUCCCACUGGCUCCCUCCCACAACAAGUGGGAAUUCAAGAUGAGAUUUGGAUGGGAGCACAAACCAUAUCACUAACCUUCAAUCGAUUUAAUAAAUUUUGGCCAACUCUGUUCAAUGUGCCAGGUACUGUUGUACCUUUCCAUUGGGUGGGAAAAUAGGUCUCUGAGGAGAUUACAGUUAAGUGGAGAGUUAAGUGAUGAGAAGAAGCCUGACACAGAGAACUGGGGAUCAAGUAUUCUAAGCAGAAAGGAAAGCAUGCUUUAGGCAGAAGCCAGUCCAUUUGUUUUCAAAUAAGAGAAAGGCCAGUGUAUGCAGAGCUUCAGGGGGAGAUCUGGUGGGAGAUGAAUUUGGGAAGGGAGCAGGGACAAAAUGUAUAUGACCUUCUAGAUCCUGGUAAAGAGUUGGAUUUUUUGUUAAAUAAAAUUAACAAAGGCCGAGGUGGGAAGAUCACGAGCUCAGGAGAUCGAGACCAUCCUGGCUAACGCAGUGAAACCCCAUCUCUACUAAAAAUACCAAAAAAAAUUAGCUGGGCGCAGUGGCGGGCGCCUGUAGUCCCAGCUACUCGGGAGGCUGAGGCAGCAGAACUGCUUGAACCCAGGAGGCAGAGGUUGCAGUGAGCUGAGAUCAUGCCACUGCACUCUAGCCUGGGCAACAGAGCAAAACUCCAUCUAAAAAAAAUAAAAUAAAUUAAAUUAAAAAACCAUGGCUUAAUGUUAACCAAAGAAACAUGUAAUUUAAUAAAAGGAAUUCUUUCCUGUUAGAAACUAUCAUUAAGUCAUUUUUUAGCAUCAGAGAAAAUCCAUAAAGAAUGUUUAUUUCCCCAGAUUCAGCUGUACAUUUGAUUUUUUUAAAAGUCACACUUUAAAAAUAACAGCAGAUAUCUGCUUUUCCCUCUUUUGCCUGUAUUCCAUCCACAAAAAUAUAAUGGGCUGUGACUUGUUCAAAGCAUUGAACUCUUAAAACUAAAUUGCAUUCCAACAUUUUUAUUUAAGAGCUAAGAAGUUAAAUAAAACCAUAUUUUAAUCUGAAGGAGAAAAAAGUACAAGGAAUUUAUUUAAAUAAGAUCAUCAACAUAAAUCUAACCCAUUUAUAAAUUGCAAUAAACGGAUUAACUGAAAAAUCACUGGUGAAAGUUUGUUAACUGCAAUUUCUGUAGAAAGAGGGAGGAAAGUGAAGAAUGAAUAAUAUUUUGACACAAAGCAAUCAUGGAGCAAAAGGUAUUUAAUAAAAGUAGGACAAGCUUUCUGAUAGCAUUUUAUCUGAAACUAAUCAUUUAAUUUAAACAUGACAUUCAUUUAAAUGUCAAAAAUAUCUAACACUUCCUACCAAAAUUAGGACACAACAUAAAUAUCCAACAAGAGGGGAAUACAUAAAUAAGUUUUAAUACAGAAGGUCCUUAAUUAUAUUAAAAAAUUUGGGCCAGGCGCAGUGGCUCACACCUGUAAUCCCAGCACUUUGGGAAGCCGAGGCACGCAGAUCACCUGAGGUAGGGAGUUUGAGACCAGCCUGACUAACACGGAGAAACCCCAUCUCUACUAAAAAUACAAAAAUAAAUAAAUAAAAAUAAAUAAAUUAGCCGGGCAUGGUGGUGCAUGCCUGUAAUCCCAGCUACUUGGGAGGCUGGGGCAGGAGAAUCACUUGAAUCAGGGAGGUUGAGGUUGUGGUGAGCUGAGAUCAUGCCAUUGCACUCCAGCCUGAACAAGAGUGAAACUCUGUCUCAAAAAAAAAAAAAAUUGUAAGUGGAAAUUGAACAUUUAAAGUGAAUCUAUAUAAAUGGA